RNAcentral lists this ribosomal RNA (443 nucleotides) under uncultured bacterium. RNAcentral's name for it is "partial 16S ribosomal RNA". It matches the Rfam family "Bacterial small subunit ribosomal RNA", at positions 338 to 795 of the family's 1533-position model. The record is from RNAcentral.
ACUACGGGGGGCAGCAGUGGGGAAUAUUGGGCAAUGGGCGCAAGCCUGACCCAGCAACGCCGCGUGAAGGAAGAAGGCUUUCGGGUUGUAAACUUCUUUUCUCAGGGACGAAGCAAGUGACGGUACCUGAGGAAUAAGCCACGGCUAACUACGUGCCAGCAGCCGCGGUAAUACGUAGGUGGCAAGCGUUAUCCGGAUUUACUGGGUGUAAAGGGCGUGUAGGCGGGGACGCAAGUCAGAUGUGAAAACCACGGGCUCAACCUGUGGCCUGCAUUUGAAACUGUGUUUCUUGAGUACUGGAGAGGCAGACGGAAUUCCUAGUGUAGCGGUGAAAUGCGUAGAUAUUAGGAGGAACACCAGUGGCGAAGGCGGUCUGCUGGACAGCAACUGACGCUGAGGCGCGAAAGCGUGGGGAGCAAACAGGAUUAGAUACCCUUGUAGUC